GAGGACAUAGCUCAGCGGUAGAGUGCCUGCCUUAUAUGUGCAGGGCCCUGGGUUCAACUCCCAGUACCCCA
This 71-nucleotide transfer RNA is filed under the name Ictidomys tridecemlineatus (thirteen-lined ground squirrel). RNAcentral describes it as "Spermophilus tridecemlineatus (thirteen-lined ground squirrel) tRNA". It matches the Rfam family "tRNA". Rfam says of the family: Transfer RNA (tRNA) molecules are approximately 80 nucleotides in length. Their secondary structure includes four short double-helical elements and three loops (D, anti-codon, and T loops). Lineage: Eukaryota; Metazoa; Chordata; Mammalia; Rodentia; Sciuridae. The record is from Rfam by way of RNAcentral.